Molecule: ribosomal RNA, 2238 nt
Filed under: Triticum aestivum (bread wheat)
Lineage: Eukaryota; Viridiplantae; Streptophyta; Magnoliopsida; Poales; Poaceae
Description: partial small subunit ribosomal RNA
Source: RNAcentral
AUGGAUCGCUCUAGCCCCACAGGGUCCGACUCUGACGCUGGGCCUAGCCAGCCAGCUGGGCAGCCUUCCUAUGAUGACCUUGCUGGGUCUCUGUUGCGUGGCCCGCCCACCCCGCCGGUGUGGCAGCGACGCUCCCCCUCUCCGCCGCUGCCGCAGCCACCGGCCUCCCCCGCAGCCUCCUCUCCGUCUCCGCCGCCGCCGCCGCCGCCGGGACCGGACUCCCCCGCAGCCUCGUCUCCGUCUCCGCCGCCGCCGCCGGGACCGCCUCACCUGUACCAGCUCGUUCCGCGGGCGGGAGCCCCCAAUGGCCCACCUGCUACGCUGCUCCGCCCUCGUCAGCCGGCCGCUCUCAAGCGGCCCGUCCACACGACGUUCAUGCCGUCCGGUUGCGCUGGGGCAAACAGGGCCUCCGAUGUGAUGAUCUUCGCCGGCCCUCCUCGCGGAACUCUCCCGCGACCGCCAGUGCCCGCGCCGGAGGUGGUUCAGCUCCCGCAUCCGGCGGCGCCCGUUCAGGAGCAUGCUCCACUGGAGCCGCUUGAGGAGGACGUCCCCCCCUCGCCGCAGCACGGCUCACCACCGCCACCGCCCGAGGAGGUACCUGUAGAUCCCUCCUCCUCCACUGAGCGUGGCGAGGCGUCAGCUUCACCAUCGGGAGGAGCAGCUGCGGAUUCCGGCGACCCGUCGGCGGCGGCGGCAGCAGCAGCAGCAGACCCAGUGGCGCAGCAGCAGCACCCCUUCACUAUGAUGUCUGCAGAUGAUCAAUGCCUGAACUGGAGGCAAAUACCGCUUUGCUGGAUCCAAAGUUCCACAGGGCUCCAGGAGUUACUCUUGUCGCUAACUGUCCGUCUUACUUUACUGUUGGGUAAAACUGGUGUACCUAUAAGAUGGCCGGGUUGUGGCCUAGCUUGGCAUUGUUGCAUCCUCCCUAAACAGAGGUUUAGUUUGGCGGCUGCUGUUCAUCUCCAUGCCUUGCAGCAAUGCCCGCUGAUUUGCUGCGUUUGGUGGCUGUUUGUGUGGUUGCGUGUGGAGGUUGCCCAGGCUGGUGGUGUGAUUAGGGAGGAGAAAGGAGCCGACGAGGAGAUGGCCGGAAUCAGUGAUGCCCCUGCACUUACUUCCGGUGAGCUUGCGGCUGUAUUGCAAGCGAUGGAUGAGAAAUACAGGGCUCUGUUUGAUGCAAUCAGCAAGCAAGCAAGCAGCUCCAAAUCAGAGGCUGAAAUAAAGGAGGAGAUACAUCCAUUACAGAUGCCAGAUGUGAAGUUAGAGGGUCCCCAGAACUAUGUAAGCUGGGCUGAGCAAGCUGAAACCAUCCUGGUUUCAAGGAAAUUGGAAGGAUACAUCCUUGGGACAGUAGAGAAACCUGAGGAAGAAGGUUCAAAAGAAGGCCAAAAAUGGAGAGCAACCAAUGCUUUGGUCAGGGCAUGGCUUCUGAGUUUUAUAUCUUCUCAGAUUGCAAAGCAGGUUGAGAGAAUCAAAGAUGUUUCAGAGAUUUGGAGGCUCCUGAAAGGCACAUAUUCAGGGGUGGGAAAUGAGAUGUUAGCAUGCAAAAUUCAAACGGAGUUGCAGGAGCUGAGCCAAGGUGAGAGAACAGUGGUGGAAUAUGUGUCUGAACUUAAAAGGUUGUGGAGUGACCUGGACUACUAUGAUCCAGUUGAAAUGGAGUGUGGGAAAUGUAUUGAGAAGCAUAGUAAGUGGACUGAGAGGAGACAUGUUAGAGAUUUCCUAAAUGGCCUCCAUCCCAGGUUUGAAAAUAGGAGAGCAGCUCUAUAUGGUAGUGGGAAGCUACCAAGUCUUGAGCAAGCAAUUUCUUCAAUAGCGAGUGAAGAAACUCCGCUAAGGUUGGAGGCAGCAGGAUCGGCUUCACAGGGAGUGCACAAAGGCGCUCAGCUUUCUUGGCUGCAAAAGGUGGAAGACACCAAAAAACAGGAGGAGGAGUCAUGGGCAUCAUCCUCUUCAUCAACAUUUUUUUCUGACUAUGAGGCAGGGGGAGAUAAAGAAGUGGAGAACACCGAUGCUGCAUCACAGAAGAUGAUGAUUGGAGUGAUACCUGCUGAAGGAAACGAACAAGAUACACCAAAUGAGGUACAACAAUGGAGAAAACCAAACAAAGAAAGGGAAUGCCAAGUGGAUACAAGAAGGCGACAAUCAAAAGAGAAACAAAUGCAGGGGGAGGAAGUAACUUCUUUGGAGCCUCACCAUGAAGCCUAUGAACCAGAAAGAACAACAUCUAGAGUGGAGUAG